GAUGAACGCUGGCGGCGUGCUUAACACAUGCAAGUCGAACGGGAAUUACUUUAUUGAAACUUCGGUCGAUUUAAAUUAAUUCUAGUGGCGGACGGGUGAGUAACGCGUGGGUAACCUGCCUUGUACAGGGGGAUAACAGUCAGAAAUGGCUGCUAAUACCGCAUAAGCGCACAGGACCGCAUGGUCCGGUGUGAAAAACUCCGGUGGUAUAAGAUGGACCCGCGUUGGAUUAGCUUGUUGGCAGGGUAACGGCCUACCAAGGCGACGAUCCAUAGCCGGCCUGAGAGGGUGAACGGCCACAUUGGGACUGAGACACGGCCCAGACUCCUACGGGAGGCAGCAGUGGGGAAUAUUGCACAAUGGGGGAAACCCUGAUGCAGCGACGCCGCGUGAAGGAAGAAGUAUCUCGGUAUGUAAACUUCUAUCAGCAGGGAAGAGAUUGACGGUACCUGACUAAGAAGCCCCG
This 466-nucleotide ribosomal RNA is filed under the name uncultured bacterium. RNAcentral's name for it is "bacterial SSU rRNA". It matches the Rfam family "Bacterial small subunit ribosomal RNA", at positions 28 to 495 of the family's 1533-position model. The record is from RNAcentral.